Molecule: ribosomal RNA, 425 nt
Filed under: uncultured bacterium
Lineage: Bacteria
Description: bacterial SSU rRNA
Rfam family: Bacterial small subunit ribosomal RNA
Source: RNAcentral
GGGGAAUUUUGGACAAUGGGGGCAACCCUGAUCCAGCAACGCCGCGUGAAUGAAGAAGGCCCUAGGGUUGUAAAGUUCUUUUGUCAGGGAAGAAAAGGUUUGUGCUAAUAUCAUAAACUGCUGACGGUACCUGAAGAAUAAGCACCGGCUAACUACGUGCCAGCAGCCGCGGUAAUACGUAGGGUGCAAGCGUUAAUCGGAAUUACUGGGCGUAAAGCGUGCGCAGGCGGAUAUGUAAGUUAGAAGUGAAAUCCCCGGGCUCAACCUGGGAAUGGCUUUUAAGACUGCGUAUCUAGAGUUUGUCAGAGGGGGGUGGAAUUCCAAGUGUAGCAGUGAAAUGCGUAGAGAUUUGGAGGAACACCAAUGGCGAAGGCAACCCCCUGGGAUAAAACUGACGCUCAUGCACGAAAGCGUGGGUAGCAAAC